CCUACGGGCGGCAGCAGUCGAGAAUCAUUCACAAUGGGGGAAACCCUGAUGGUGCGACGCCGCGUGGGGGAAUGAAGGUCUUCGGAUUGUAAACCCCUGUCAUGUGGGAGCAAAUUAAAAAGAUAGUACCACAAGAGGAAGAGACGGCUAACUCUGUGCCAGCAGCCGCGGUAAUACAGAGGUCUCAAGCGUUGUUCGGAAUCACUGGGCGUAAAGCGUGCGUAGGCUGUGUCGUAAGUCGUGUGUGAAAGGCCCGGGCUCAACCCGCGGACGGCACAUGAUACUGCGAGACUAGAGUAAUGGAGGGGGAACCGGAAUUCUCGGUGUAGCAGUGAAAUGCGUAGAUAUCGAGAGGAACACUCGUGGCGAAGGCGGGUUCCUGGACAUUAACUGACGCUGAGGCACGAAGGCCAGGGGAGCGAAAGGGAUUAGAUACCCCUGUAGUC
RNAcentral lists this ribosomal RNA (446 nucleotides) under uncultured bacterium. RNAcentral describes it as "partial 16S ribosomal RNA". It matches the Rfam family "Bacterial small subunit ribosomal RNA", at positions 338 to 795 of the family's 1533-position model. The record is from RNAcentral.